CUAGCGUUGCUCGGAAUCACUGGGCGUAAAGCGCACGUAGGCGGCUUUCUAAGUCCGGGGUGAAAUCCUGGAGCUCAACUCCAGAACUGCCUUCGAAACUGAUAGUCUUGAGUUCGGGAGAGGUGAGUGGAACUGCGAGUGUAGAGGUGAAAUUCGUAGAUAUUCGCAAGAACACCAGUGGCGAAGGCGGCUCACUGGCCCGAUACUGACGCUGAGGUGCGAAAGCGUGGGGAGCAAACAGG
RNAcentral lists this ribosomal RNA (242 nucleotides) under uncultured bacterium. Its description in RNAcentral is "partial 16S ribosomal RNA". It matches the Rfam family "Bacterial small subunit ribosomal RNA", at positions 535 to 776 of the family's 1533-position model. The record is from RNAcentral.